This 400-nucleotide ribosomal RNA is filed under the name uncultured bacterium. Its description in RNAcentral is "bacterial SSU rRNA". It matches the Rfam family "Bacterial small subunit ribosomal RNA", at positions 357 to 774 of the family's 1533-position model. The record is from RNAcentral.
GGGAAUAUUGGACAAUGGGCGCAAGCCUGAUCCAGCCAUGCCGCGUGGGUGAUGAAGGCCUUAGGGUUGUAAAGCCCUUUCGGCGGGGAAGAUAAUGACGGUACCCGCAGAAGAAGCCCCGGCUAACUUCGUGCCAGCAGCCGCGGUAAUACGAAGGGGGCUAGCGUUGCUCGGAAUUACUGGGCGUAAAGCGCACGUAGGCGGCUUGUUAAGUCGGGGGUGAAAUCCCGGAGCUCAACUCCGGAACUGCCUUCGAUACUGGCAAGCUCGAGUCCGGGAGAGGUGAGUGGAACUGCGAGUGUAGAGGUGAAAUUCGUAGAUAUUCGCAAGAACACCAGUGGCGAAGGCGGCUCACUGGCCCGGUACUGACGCUGAGGUGCGAAAGCGUGGGGAGCAAACA